RNAcentral lists this ribosomal RNA (490 nucleotides) under uncultured bacterium. Its description in RNAcentral is "partial 16S ribosomal RNA". It matches the Rfam family "Bacterial small subunit ribosomal RNA", at positions 30 to 507 of the family's 1533-position model. The record is from RNAcentral.
AUUGAACGCUGGCGGCAGGCCUAACACAUGCAAGUCGAACGGUAACAGGAAACAGCUUGCUGUUUCGCUGACGAGUGGCGGACGGGUGAGUAAUGUCUGGGAAACUGCCUGAUGGAGGGGGAUAACUACUGGAAACGGUAGCUAAUACCGCAUAACGUCGCAAGACCAAAGAGGGGGACCUUCGGGCCUCUUGCCAUCGGAUGUGCCCAGAUGGGAUUAGCUAGUAGGUGGGGUAACGGCUCACCUAGGCGACGAUCCCUAGCUGGUCUGAGAGGAUGACCAGCCACACUGGAACUGAGACACGGUCCAGACUCCUACGGGAGGCAGCAGUGGGGAAUAUUGCACAAUGGGCGCAAGCCUGAUGCAGCCAUGCCGCGUGUAUGAAGAAGGCCUUCGGGUUGUAAAGUACUUUCAGCGGGGAUGAAGGGAGUAAAGUUAAUACCUUUGCUCAUUGACGUUACCCGCAGAAGAAGCACCGGCUGACUCCGUG